UUUCUCUGGAAGUGUUCAGGAGUUGGGAUGUGGCCCUUGGGGUGAUGCUGGUGGUGCUGGCUGAUUUUGAAGGUCUCCCCAGCCCCUCCCUCUAAUGUCCUUUUUCUUUUCUUCAGACAUAAAAGAAAGAGAGGAAAACACAUUUAUCAGUCAUGCAAAGUGCAGCAGAAAGCUCAGGAGAAGGAAGGAGCUCUGAAGUUCAGAGAGCUUAGAAAAGUUGUGUUUUCCCCAUUCUUAGAAGUGUCCCUGAUGGUUCUCUGACUCUGUAAAUCCACAUUUGCAGGGAUCCUGUGAAGCUCCAGAGAGCGCACGGCACUGACCUGGAGAAGGGAGAGAAGGGAGAAGUGAGAGAAGGAAGAGAAGGAAGAGAAGGAUUUGCCUGGAGAAGGGAGAGAAGGGAGAGGAAGUGAGAGAAGGAAGAGAAGGAAGAUAAGGAUUUUCCUGGAGAAGGGACUCGGUGUUCUCCUCCUCAGCCCCAGCUUCCAGGUGGCCAUCCAUGACUCCCCCUCUGGCUCUCUGGUAACCACAGACGCUUCUUCCUCCCCUGGAAAGCAGAGGGUGAGAUUUUGGGAGGGGUUUUUGAUGUUUUGGUGGUGGCUGGAGAGAGCCAGGGUUCCCAUCAGGUGAGG
RNAcentral lists this long non-coding RNA (629 nucleotides) under Cyanistes caeruleus (blue tit). Its description in RNAcentral is "lncRNA (ENSCCEG00000017447.1)". The record is from RNAcentral. Lineage: Eukaryota; Metazoa; Chordata; Aves; Passeriformes; Paridae.